RNAcentral lists this ribosomal RNA (1183 nucleotides) under Acinetobacter pittii. RNAcentral's name for it is "bacterial SSU rRNA". It matches the Rfam family "Bacterial small subunit ribosomal RNA", at positions 244 to 1425 of the family's 1533-position model. Lineage: Bacteria; Pseudomonadati; Pseudomonadota; Gammaproteobacteria; Moraxellales; Moraxellaceae. The record is from RNAcentral.
GCUAGUUGGUGGGGUAAAGGCCUACCAAGGCGACGAUCUGUAGCGGGUCUGAGAGGAUGAUCCGCCACACUGGGACGAGACACGGCCCAGACUCCUACGGGAGGCAGCAGUGGGGAAUAUUGGACAAUGGCGCAAGCCUGAUCCAGCCAUGCCGCGUGUGUGAAGAAGGCCUUAUGGUUGUAAAGCACUUUAAGCGAGGAGGAGGCUACUUUAGUUAAUACCUAGAGAUAGUGGACGUUACUCGCAGAAUAAGCACCGGCUAACUCUGUGCCAGCAGCCGCGGUAAUACAGAGGGUGCAAGCGUUAAUCGGAUUUACUGGGCGUAAAGCGCGCGUAGGCGGCUAAUUAAGUCAAAUUGAAAUCCCCGAGCUUAACUGGGAAUUGCAUUCGAUACUGGUUAGCUAGAGUGUGGGAGAGGAUGGUAGAAUUCCAGGUGUAGCGGUGAAAUGCGUAGAGAUCUGGAGGAAUACCGAUGGCGAAGGCAGCCAUCUGGCCUAACACUGACGCUGAGGUGCGAAAGCAUGGGGAGCAAACAGGAUUAGAUACCCUGGUAGUCCAUGCCGUAAACGAUGUCUACUAGCCGUUGGGGCCUUUGAGGCUUUAGUGGCGCAGCUAACGCGAUAAGUAGACCGCCUGGGGAGUACGGUCGCAAGACUAAAACUCAAAUGAAUUGACGGGGGCCCGCACAAGCGGUGGAGCAUGUGGUUUAAUUCGAUGCAACGCGAAGAACCUUACUGGCCUUGACAUAGUAAGAACUUUCCAGAGAUGGAUUGUGCCUUCGGGAACUUACAUACAGGUGCUGCAUGGCUGUCGUCAGCUCGUGUCGUGAGAUGUUGGGUUAAGUCCCGCAACGAGCGCAACCCUUUUCCUUAUUUGCCAGCGAGUAAUGUCGGGAACUUUAAGGAUACUGCCAGUGACAAACUGGAGGAAGGCGGGGACGACGUCAAGUCAUCAUGGCCCUUACGGCCAGGGCUACACACGUGCUACAAUGGUCGGUACAAAGGGUUGCUACCUAGCGAUAGGAUGCUAAUCUCAAAAGCCGAUCGUAGUCCGGAUUGGAGUCUGCAACUCGACUCCAUGAAGUCGGAAUCGCUAGUAAUCGCGGAUCAGAAUGCCGCGGUGAAUACGUUCCCGGGCCUUGUACACACCGCCCGUCACACCAUGGGAGUUUGUUGCACCAGAA